GACGAACGCUGGCGGCGUGCUUAACACAUGCAAGUCGAACGGUAAGGCCCUGCUUUUGUGGGGUGCUCGAGUGGCGAACGGGUGAGUAACACGUGAGUAACCUGCCCUUGACUUUGGUAUAACUUCAGGAAACUGGGGCUAAUACCGGAUAGGAGCUCCUGCUGCAUGGUGGGGGUUGGAAAGUUUCGGCGGUUGGGGAUGGACUCGCGGCUUAUCAGCUUGUUGGUGGGGUAGUGGCUUACCAAGGCUUUGACGGGUAGCCGGCCUGAGAGGGUGACCGGCCACAUUGGGACUGAGAUACGGCCCAGACUCCUACGGGAGGCAGCAGUGGGGAAUAUUGCACAAUGGGCGGAAGCCUGAUGCAGCAACGCCGCGUGCGGGAUGACGGCCUUCGGGUUGUAAACCGCUUUCGCCUGUGACGAAGCGUGAGUGACGGUAAUGGGUAAAGAAGCACCGGCUAACUACGUG
This 468-nucleotide ribosomal RNA is filed under the name uncultured bacterium. RNAcentral's name for it is "partial 16S ribosomal RNA". It matches the Rfam family "Bacterial small subunit ribosomal RNA", at positions 28 to 507 of the family's 1533-position model. The record is from RNAcentral.